GGAGGGCUCGCCUAGUGGCCGAUGGCGCUGGUCUUGAAAACCGGUAUGAGGAAACUCAUCGUGGGUUCGAAUCCCACGCCCUCCG
This 85-nucleotide transfer RNA is filed under the name Dactylosporangium aurantiacum. Its description in RNAcentral is "tRNA-Ser". It matches the Rfam family "tRNA". Rfam says of the family: Transfer RNA (tRNA) molecules are approximately 80 nucleotides in length. Their secondary structure includes four short double-helical elements and three loops (D, anti-codon, and T loops). The record is from RNAcentral. Lineage: Bacteria; Bacillati; Actinomycetota; Actinomycetes; Micromonosporales; Micromonosporaceae.